CAACUGGAGAGUUUGAUUCUGGCUCAGAACGAACGCUGGCGGCAUGCUUAACACAUUACGCAAGUCGAACGAGAAAGUCCCCGAUGAAGUGCAAAGUGGCGCACGGUGAGAACACGGGGCACGUACCCCUUUAGGAUGGGGGACAACCACGGGAAACUGUAUUAAUUCCUAAUACGCCUAUUGAAUUCAUGUUUUAAUGAGGAAAGGGGGCCCUCUGAUCUAAGGUCACACUGAAGGAUCGGCUUGCGUCCCAUCAGCUUGUUGGUGAGGUAAAGCUCACCAAGGCUAUGAUUUAGCUGGUCUGAGAGGACGAUCAGCCACACUCAACCGAAACAUUGGUCCAGACUCCUACGGGAGGCAGCAGUGGGGGAAUAUUGGACAAUGGGGGGAAACCCCUGAUCCAGCAAUGCCGUGCGGGAGGAAGAAGGCCUUUGGGUUGUAAACUCCUGUCAUAGGGGAAGAAGGCUAUUGGCGAAUAGUCUUUUAGUCUUGAUUGGUACCAAGGAAGUAAUCGUUAACUCUGUGCCAGCAGCCGCGGUAAUACGGUAGUGCAAGCGUUGUUCGAAUCAUCAAGUAAAGCGCCUUAGGCUGAGCAGAUGUCAGGGCGGAAAGACCGGCUCAACCCAGGAAAUGCGCCUGAAAACUAUUUAUCUGGUUGUGAGAGGUGAGCAAUUCCCAGUGAAAAGGAAAUGCGUAUUAUUAGAAGAACAUCAGAGGCGAAGGCGGCUCACUGGCUACAUACUGACGCCAGCGCGAAAGGGAAGCAAACAGGAUUAGACACUUGGCAGUCCACGCCAAACGAUGAUUACUAGUGUCGGGUGAUCAAUUCCCCGGUGCCGACGCUAACGCAUUAAGUAAUCCCGCCUGGGGAGUACGGCCGCGUUAAAACUCAAAGAAAUUGACGGGGCCCGCACAUGGUGGAGCAUGUGGUUUAAUUCGACGCAACGCGAAGAACCUUACCUGGGCUUGACAUCCAAAGAAUUGCUGAGAUAGUGAAAGUGCCCUGGGAACUUUGAGACAGGUGCUGCAUGGUCGUCGCCGCUUCCGUGUCGUGGAGAUGUUGUUGGUCCUGCAACGAGCGCAACCCCUAUCCUUAGUUGGGCAAUAUCUGCUGGUUGAGCACUCAGAGACUGCCGGUGUUAAGCCGGAGGAAGGUAGACGACGCCUGAGUCAUCACGGCCCUUACGUCCAGGGCUACACACGUGCUACAAUGAUGGUACAAAGGGUUGCCAACUCAAGAGGGAGCUAACUCCAAAAACCCUUCCUAGUUUCGGAUUGAGUCUGCAACCCCGACUCCAUGAAGUUGAAUCGCUAGUAACGCAUCGUUAAACAAACACGGUGAAUACGUUCCUGGCCUUUGUACACACCGCCCGUCACACCACGAAAGUUGAUUUUCCAGAAGACGGUUUACUAACCUUCUCGGGAGGGACCUGGUCCAAGGAAGGAUUGAUGAUUGGGUGAAGUCGCAAAAUGCGAGUUGUAGGGAACCUGCGGCUGGAUCACCUCCUUUCU
This 1512-nucleotide ribosomal RNA is filed under the name Deltaproteobacteria bacterium. RNAcentral describes it as "bacterial SSU rRNA". It matches the Rfam family "Bacterial small subunit ribosomal RNA". The record is from RNAcentral. Lineage: Bacteria; Pseudomonadati; Myxococcota; Myxococcia.